This is a long non-coding RNA of Anneissia japonica, 144 nucleotides long. RefSeq lists it as uncharacterized. NCBI's taxonomy places the organism in Eukaryota, Metazoa, Echinodermata, Crinoidea, Comatulida, Comatulidae. The transcript has 2 exons. The record is from RefSeq and is a predicted model, not a curated record.
AGAACAAAAUGAUACAGACUCUAUACCGCACAUAAGUGAAGGAGAAGAUGAUGAACAAGAGACAAGAACAGAAGAGAUUGAAAGAGAAAAAGCACAUCAGGCCUGGCUUGAGAGGGAAAGAGUAGCACAGAUAUUAUUUGAAAG